Molecule: long non-coding RNA, 409 nt
Filed under: Pan paniscus (pygmy chimpanzee)
Lineage: Eukaryota; Metazoa; Chordata; Mammalia; Primates; Hominidae
Description: lncRNA (ENSPPAG00000044386.1)
Source: RNAcentral
ACUGUUUAAUAUUAUAUCAUGUUGAAUUUUUCCCAAUGGUAAUCUUAUGAUGGCUGCAGCUACCUGUUAACUUCAACAAGCACAGUGGCCUGGAGACUACAUGAUGGUGUAUCAGUGAUGGUAAGAGCAUCCUUUUCCCUAGUAUUACUAGGUUACAUUGUACCUUUUCUCUUCCACAUGAUGGAGAUCUUCAAAGUAAGCAUCUUUCAAAGCAGUGACAAGCAAAAUACAGCUGGAAGAUCAGUAACUCCCUGUUAAGCAGCUUUGCUUGCUGUCAUUGUUGACUGCCAGGGGGUGGUGAUCCAUGUCAGUCACUAAAAUGACACCUUGGCAAGACUAAAGUCUGCUCCUGGAGUUUUUGUGUAUGGAAACAAUUUUAAGGUAAUGAGAUUUUCAUAUAUUUCUAGCA